RNAcentral lists this ribosomal RNA (253 nucleotides) under uncultured bacterium. RNAcentral's name for it is "partial 16S ribosomal RNA". It matches the Rfam family "Bacterial small subunit ribosomal RNA", at positions 524 to 776 of the family's 1533-position model. The record is from RNAcentral.
CACAGAGGGUGUGAGCGUUAAUCGGAAUUACUGGGCGUAAAGCGCGCGUAGGCGGCUUUGCAAGUCGGGUGUGAAAUCCCCAGGCUUAACCUGGGAACUGCAUUCGAGACUGCAUUGCUAGAGUAUGGGAGAGGGAAGUGGAAUUUCAGGUGUAGCGGUGAAAUGCGUAGAUAUCUGAAGGAACAUCAGUGGCGAAAGCGACUUCCUGGACCAAUACUGACGCUCAUGUGCGAAAGCGUGGGGAGCAAACAGG